This 64-nucleotide transfer RNA is filed under the name Urechis caupo. RNAcentral's name for it is "tRNA-Tyr". Lineage: Eukaryota; Metazoa; Annelida; Polychaeta; Xenopneusta; Urechidae. The record is from RNAcentral.
AGUAAGAUGGCUGAGAUAUAAGCAAAAGAUUGUAAACCUUUAAACGGACCUAGUCCUCUUACUA